Molecule: transfer RNA, 87 nt
Filed under: Gaiellaceae bacterium
Lineage: Bacteria; Bacillati; Actinomycetota; Thermoleophilia; Gaiellales; Gaiellaceae
Also listed under: 2 other names
Description: tRNA-Ser
Rfam family: tRNA
About the family: Transfer RNA (tRNA) molecules are approximately 80 nucleotides in length. Their secondary structure includes four short double-helical elements and three loops (D, anti-codon, and T loops).
Source: RNAcentral
GGCGGGGUGCCGGAGCGGUCGAACGGGGCGGUCUUGAAAACCGUUGGGCGCGCAAGCGUCUCCUGGGUUCGAAUCCCAGCCCCGCCG